Molecule: long non-coding RNA, 1023 nt
Organism: Nerophis ophidion (straightnose pipefish)
Lineage: Eukaryota; Metazoa; Chordata; Actinopteri; Syngnathiformes; Syngnathidae
Exons: 3
Source: RefSeq, a predicted model, not a curated record
UUACGUAUUUGCCCGAGCUUAAAUACGGUGCUACUGACAGCUGUCACCUUCUCUUUUCCCUACCUCGAACUAACCCAAAAGUACAAACGACGUUUGAACACUAAAUCGCUUAAAAUGUGCAUUAAAUAACAGAACGAAGGAGUUGCCGCGACGGCAAGAGGGGCGGGCGCCGCGUCCCUUGUGUACCAGAAGGAGACGCCUGCAAGCAUUGUGGCCUUAAAGACAUGCCAUUAAACGCUUGCAAUAAUUGUAGUGUGUCGGGACGUGUGCGUGUCCGCUAUGUUGACGUUACAUUGCUGGUGUACCCUUUGCAACUUUUGCACAGUUUUUUCCCCCCCUGCGGCCUACAAGCUCCCAUCGCCAACUUAACAGCCGAGCACCUCCUUGCACCAUUUCCGCGUUGAAUAGCGACUCGUCGAAUAAACACACCAAAGCAAAUACCGAUGUUGUCUUUAAAGUCAUCAGGCAAUAAUGGCGGCGUUUAGGCGCUUAUGUUGCAGAAUAGCCGGCUUAAUAAGUGGAGUGGGGUGCGCGACGUGUCUGAAUAGACGACACACACACAAAAAACACACAACUUACCGAGUGCCACUUCGCAGGCUUUGCGCAGUUGGGAGUGGUGGGCUUUUUUCACCUCCUUGUCCGCCAAAAUCUUCUCCAAAGCUCUGGCCGGAGGGAGAGGAGAGGGCUCCAAAAAUGAUGUAGUUUCCCCCUCGGCGAUGUCAGGCCACACCAAGAAAAAAACAAACGCACAAAAAGGUGGGCUCAAUCCCGUCCGACGGACAUCAACGACCUGCCUCCUGCGCCAUGUUGGAGAGGAAGCGACGUCACGCACGUCGGCGAGCGGCCGCAGUGAGGAAGCAGGGAGAUGCUGCUGCUGCUGCUGCUCGGAGAGGGGCGCCGGAAGUUGGCAGACCCGUCAGCGAUCCUGUUCUGUCUCCCUGUAAUGUUUGUCUCAUCUUUAAUGGGAUUGUGCUGAAAAGUUUGAUUUCCCCUCUGGGAUUAAUAAAGUAUGUCUUAUUCUGA